GCACAGACUAUUUCUCUUAAUAUCCCUUUUACAACAAUUUAAUUUGCAAAUAACCCACAUAGUCUGACAUAUAAAUAUCAUUAUGGCAUUGCCUCUCCAUUGUCAUUUUUAAGUUUAUGGUAAGCAUCAGUUUUAUGAAGUCUUGCACUGUCAUUUAUAAGUUCUCUUCUUUUCAUCACUAAAUGUUGUUUAUAAUACUUUAAUCCCCAAUUCAUCCGCUUUCUAAAUUGCAUGAAACGGAUCCCGUUUCACUUGCACUUUAGCUGACUUUUAUACUAAUCUAAUGCAAAAUUGAGUUGUUUAUUGAAGAACAUUCUGCUUGCCUGGAGCAGGUCAAGAAAAGGAAGAUUAAUAGUUGGAAAAUAUCAUGUGCGACCCUUACUCUGACCUAGAAGUUGCCCUUGGAGAUUUCCCGUUAAAGUAAUACAAUGCACGGUUUACUACUCAGUCCUUGAUAUAGCUGCAAGAUAAAAUUGCUGUUCUGUCAAUCAUGUUCUCUGCCUUAUUCUUGUAAUUACUUGGGUUAAGGGUAAUUUUGUCCCCUUGUUGUAUUUAUUGAAUAUUCUGUUAAAAGGUCAAAUUACAUUUUAAGCC
This is a non-coding RNA of Elaeis guineensis (African oil palm), 594 nucleotides long. The record is from RefSeq and is a predicted model, not a curated record. NCBI's taxonomy places the organism in Eukaryota, Viridiplantae, Streptophyta, Magnoliopsida, Arecales, Arecaceae.